RNAcentral lists this ribosomal RNA (462 nucleotides) under uncultured Chloroflexota bacterium. RNAcentral describes it as "bacterial SSU rRNA". It matches the Rfam family "Bacterial small subunit ribosomal RNA", at positions 224 to 704 of the family's 1533-position model. The record is from RNAcentral. Lineage: Bacteria; Bacillati; Chloroflexota.
GAGGGGCUUGCGGUCGAUUAGCUAGUUGGUGGGGUAAUGGCCUACCAAGGCUGCGAUCGGUAGCUGGUCUGAGAGGACGGUCAGCCACACGGGGACUGAGAUACGGCCCCGACUCCUACGGGAGGCAGCAGCUAGGAAUCUUGGGAAUGGGCGAAAGCCUGACCCAGCAACGCCGCGUGGGCGAUGAAGGCCUUCGGGUCGUAAAGCCCUUUUGCAGGGGAAGAUGAUGACGGUACCCUGCGAAUAAGCCACGGCUAACUACGUGCCAGCAGCCGCGGUAAUACGUAGGUGGCAAGCGUUGUCCGGAUUUACUGGGCGUAAAGGGCGUGCAGGCGGUCUGCUAAGUCUAGGGUGAAAGCUCCCGGCUCAACUGGGAGAGGUCCUUGGAUACUGGCGGACUUGAGGGAGGUAGAGGAGAGUGGAAUUCCCGGUGUAGUGGUGAUAUGCGUAGAUAUCGGGAGG